Molecule: unclassified non-coding RNA, 148 nt
Organism: Pongo abelii (Sumatran orangutan)
Lineage: Eukaryota; Metazoa; Chordata; Mammalia; Primates; Hominidae
Rfam family: Metazoan signal recognition particle RNA
About the family: The signal recognition particle (SRP) is a universally conserved ribonucleoprotein. It is involved in the co-translational targeting of proteins to membranes. The eukaryotic SRP consists of a 300-nucleotide 7S RNA and six proteins: SRPs 72, 68, 54, 19, 14, and 9.
Source: Ensembl
GCUGGGUGUGAUGGUGCACGCCUGUAAUCCCAGCUACUAGGGAGGCUGAGGCAGGAGAAUCGCUUGAACCCGGGAGGCGGGGAUUGCAGUGAGCCCAGAUGGCGCCACUGCACUCCAGCCUGGGCGACAGAGCGAGACUCUGUCUCAA